RNAcentral lists this ribosomal RNA (278 nucleotides) under uncultured bacterium. Its description in RNAcentral is "partial 16S ribosomal RNA". It matches the Rfam family "Bacterial small subunit ribosomal RNA", at positions 28 to 303 of the family's 1533-position model. The record is from RNAcentral.
GAUGAACGCUAGCGGCAGGCCUAAUACAUGCAAGCCGAACGGCAAGAACUUUAGCAAUAGAGUUCCUAGAGUGGCGUAAGGGUGCGUAACACGUAUGCAAUCUGCCCUCAACAGGAGGAUAGCUCCCCGAAAGGGGAAGUUAAGACUCCAUAAGAUCAUUUAUGGCAUCAUGAGAUGAUUAAACUACCAGGGGUUGAGGAUGAGCAUGCGCAUGAUUAGUUAGUUGGCGGGGUAACGGCCCACCAAGACGAUGAUCAUUAGGGGAACUGAGAGGUUGA